RNAcentral lists this unclassified non-coding RNA (408 nucleotides) under Bombus terrestris (buff-tailed bumblebee). Its description in RNAcentral is "misc RNA ENSBTSG00005039262.1". Lineage: Eukaryota; Metazoa; Arthropoda; Insecta; Hymenoptera; Apidae. The record is from RNAcentral.
AACAUUUUCAAAAGAAAGAGCUCAACUUACAUAUAACUUAUUUACUUACACUUACAUAUAAAUGUAGCGACUCAGAGAAGUCAGCAAGAACAAUAAUUACCGUUCGUUUAUCGAAUAGUAUACGAUAAUCGUUCGUCUAUCGAGUAAUAAUAAUUAUCAUUUGUCUAUCGAGCAUAUUAAUUAAUUACCGUUCGUCAACCGAAUAAUUACUAUUGUCUAUCGAAGAGUUAGUUAUCGUUUUGUCAACCGAAGAAUUUUAUAUCCGUCAGUCUGUCAGUCAAUUGUCAACAUCGAAAUCAAGUUAGCCGAAAGUGGAGCUUGUUGCCAAUUGCAUUAAACGUCAGUUAACGCUACCUUCUCGUUGGCGACUAAACAGAAUGUAACAAUUAUAAACAGAGUCAGCGGACA